UGGGGAAUUUUGGACAAUGGGCGCAAGCCUGAUCCAGCCAUGCCGCGUGAGUGAAGAAGGCCUUCGGGUUGUAGAGCUCUUUCGGACGGGAAGAAAUGGCGGGCUCUAACAUAGCCUGUCGAUGACGGUACCGUAAGAAGAAGCACCGGCUAACUACGUGCCAGCAGCCGCGGUAAUACGUAGGGUGCGAGCGUUAAUCGGAAUUACUGGGCGUAAAGCGUGCGCAGGCGGUUUUGUAAUACAGAUGUGAAAUCCCCGGGCUUAACCUGGGA
This 272-nucleotide ribosomal RNA is filed under the name uncultured bacterium. RNAcentral's name for it is "partial 16S ribosomal RNA". It matches the Rfam family "Bacterial small subunit ribosomal RNA", at positions 355 to 619 of the family's 1533-position model. The record is from RNAcentral.